RNAcentral lists this ribosomal RNA (649 nucleotides) under Dermocystidium salmonis. RNAcentral describes it as "SSU rRNA". It matches the Rfam family "Eukaryotic small subunit ribosomal RNA", at positions 650 to 1301 of the family's 1831-position model. Lineage: Eukaryota; Ichthyosporea; Dermocystida. The record is from RNAcentral.
UCCGCCGCAAGGUGUUGUACCGAGCCAGCCAAUCCUUUCGCUUCCCGAAAGCGGCGUGUGCCCUUAAUUGUUUGGUGUGCGUUCGUCUUUAUUUCGGGACUUUUACUGUGAAAAAAUUAGAGUGUUCAAAGCAGGCGUUUGCUUGAAUAUUUCAGCAUGGAAUAAUGGAAUAGGACAUUGGUUCUAUUUUGUUGGUUUCUAGGACCAAAGUAAUGAUUAAUAGGGAUAGUUGGGGGCAUUAGUAUUUAAUUGUCAGAGGUGAAAUUCUUGGAUUUAUGAAAGACUAACUUCUGCGAAAGCAUUUGCCAAGGAUGUUUUCAUUAAUCAAGAACGAAAGUUAGGGGAUCGAAGAUGAUCAGAUACCGUCGUAGUCCUAACCAUAAACUAUGCCGACUAGGGAUUGGUAGAUGUUACUUUUAUGACUCUAUCAGCACCUUAUGAGAAAUCAAAGUCUUUGGGUUCCGGGGGGAGUAUGGUCGCAAGGCUGAAACUUAAAGGAAUUGACGGAAGGGCACCACCAGGAGUGGAGCCUGCGGCUUAAUUUGACUCAACACGGGGAAACUCACCAGGUCCAGACAUGGUAAGGAUUGACAGAUUGAGAGCUCUUUCUUGAUUCUAUGGGUGGUGGUGCAUGGCCGUUCUUAGUUGG